This 300-nucleotide ribosomal RNA is filed under the name uncultured Methanosarcina sp. RNAcentral describes it as "bacterial SSU rRNA". It matches the Rfam family "Bacterial small subunit ribosomal RNA", at positions 496 to 795 of the family's 1533-position model. The record is from RNAcentral. Lineage: Archaea; Methanobacteriati; Methanobacteriota; Methanomicrobia; Methanosarcinales; Methanosarcinaceae.
GAUAACUCAGUGGGCGGAUACGGUGUAAUACGGAUGGGGAAAGCGUUAUCUGUGUUUAUUGGGUUUGAAGGGUCAGGAGGCGGACUUAUAAGUCAGUGGUGAAAGCCUGUCGCUUAACGAUAGAACUGCCAUUGAUACUGGAAGUCUUGAGUAUAAUUGAGGUAGCUGGAAUAAGUAGGGGAGCGGUGAAAUGCAUAGAUAUUACGUAGAACACCAAUUGCGAAGGCAGGUUACCAAGUUAUAACUGACGCUGAGGGACGAAAGCGUGGGGAGCGAACAGGAUUAGAUACCCCUGUAGUC